This 120-nucleotide small RNA is filed under the name Lacticaseibacillus paracasei. RNAcentral's name for it is "Lactobacillus paracasei mraW". Lineage: Bacteria; Bacillati; Bacillota; Bacilli; Lactobacillales; Lactobacillaceae. The record is from RNAcentral.
GAGCGGUCUUCAGCGCGGUUAGCAGCCAGCGUGUAAGCGGCCUUGGCCGUGAUGGUCGCUCUUUGACCAUUGCGGCCAAGGUUCUUACACGCUGGCUGCUGCGCUGAAGAGCGCGUUAUA